UCCAGAAUUUCAAGAAAAAGGUAUAUAUUAUAUGUAUAUAAAAAGCAAGGAUCUCAGUGAAUGUCAAUAUGUUCUCUUAUAAGUGAGAGUUUCAUGUCCCCAAUAACUAUGUCUCUUUCUAUUUAUAAGGGAACAUGUGCCAUAAAAUCUUAAUAGUACAGACCCAGAAAAUAUCCACCGAAAUAUUUCCUUUAAAGUUUUGUACUAAAACUAGCUGUUAUUAUGCUGUUUAAGACAAGUGCUCGUCCUCUACCUAGAUCUAUGUUGACUCCUAUCGACCCCGCCCUUUAUCUCUUGUGAGAUCGCUACGACCUUGAACAUGCCUUUUGUCGAAGC
This 336-nucleotide long non-coding RNA is filed under the name Nicotiana benthamiana. RNAcentral's name for it is "long non-coding RNA (NBEN_LNC002139)". Lineage: Eukaryota; Viridiplantae; Streptophyta; Magnoliopsida; Solanales; Solanaceae. The record is from RNAcentral.